Molecule: ribosomal RNA, 119 nt
Filed under: Pteropus alecto (black flying fox)
Lineage: Eukaryota; Metazoa; Chordata; Mammalia; Chiroptera; Pteropodidae
Source: RNAcentral
GUCUACGGCCAUGCCACCCUGAACAAGCCCAAUCCCAUCUGAUCUUGGAAGCUAAGCAGGGUCAGGCCUAGUUAAUACUUGGAUGGGAGACCACCUAGAAAGACUAGGUGCUGUAGGCA